UAAUACGGAGGGGGCUAGCGUUAUUCGGAAUUACUGGGCGUAAAGCGCGCGUAGGCGGUUUUUCAAGUCAGAGGUGAAAGCCCGGAGCUCAACUCCGGAAUUGCCUUUGAAACUGGAUCACUAGAAUCAUGGAGAGGUCAGUGGAAUUCCGAGUGUAGAGGUGAAAUUCGUAGAUAUUCGGAAGAACACCAGUGGCGAAGGCGACUGACUGGACAUGUAUUGACGCUGAGGUGCGAAAGCGUGGGGAGCAAACAGG
This 256-nucleotide ribosomal RNA is filed under the name uncultured bacterium. RNAcentral describes it as "partial 16S ribosomal RNA". It matches the Rfam family "Bacterial small subunit ribosomal RNA", at positions 521 to 776 of the family's 1533-position model. The record is from RNAcentral.